GAUGAACGCUAGCGGCAGGCUUAAUACAUGCAAGUCAAGGGGGUAGCAAUACAACCGGCGCACGGGUGAGUAACGCGUACACAACAUACCAUAUACUGGGGUAUAGCUUCGGGAAACUGGAGAUAAUCCCCCAUAACAUUGCGAGAGGGCAUCUGAUUGCAAUUAAAGUUUCGACGGUAUAUGAUUGGUGUGCGUUUGAUUAGCUUGUUGGUAGGGUAACGGCCUACCAAGGCGACGAUCAAUAGCUGGCGUGAGAGCGCGACCAGCCACACUGGAACUGAGACACGGUCCAGACUCCUACGGGAGGCAGCAGUAGGGAAUAUUGGACAAUGGGCGAAAGCCUGAUCCAGCCAUGCCGCGUGAUAGAUGAAGGCCUCUGGUUGUAAUAUCUUUUAUCUGGGAAGAAACUCCUCUAUUCUUAGAGGCCUGACGGUACCAGAGGAAUAAGCACCGGCUAACUCCGUG
RNAcentral lists this ribosomal RNA (465 nucleotides) under uncultured bacterium. RNAcentral's name for it is "bacterial SSU rRNA". It matches the Rfam family "Bacterial small subunit ribosomal RNA", at positions 28 to 507 of the family's 1533-position model. The record is from RNAcentral.